UACGUAGGCAGCAAGCGUUGUUCGGAAUUACUGGGCGUAAAGAGUGUGUAGGCGGUGCUCUAAGUUCGGUGUGAAAUCUCCCGGCUUAACUGGGAGGGUGCGCCGGAAACUGGAGUGCUCGAGCGUGGGAGAGGAAAGCGGAAUUCCUGGUGUAGCGGUGAAAUGCGUAGAUAUCAGGAGGAACACCUGCGGUGUAGACGGCUUUCUGGACCAUUGCUGACGCUGAGACGCGAAAGCUAGGGGAGCAAACAGG
RNAcentral lists this ribosomal RNA (253 nucleotides) under uncultured bacterium. RNAcentral describes it as "partial 16S ribosomal RNA". It matches the Rfam family "Bacterial small subunit ribosomal RNA", at positions 524 to 776 of the family's 1533-position model. The record is from RNAcentral.